This 15532-nucleotide long non-coding RNA is filed under the name Coffea arabica (coffee). RNAcentral's name for it is "long non-coding RNA (CARA_LNC004420)". The record is from RNAcentral. Lineage: Eukaryota; Viridiplantae; Streptophyta; Magnoliopsida; Gentianales; Rubiaceae.
GGUUUACUUCUCGUGCAAAUUAUGUUAUUACAUUUGACUAGGAGGCUGAGUUAUAAUUGCAAAGUCAUAAAAUUUGUAUGCUAUGUUUGCUCUUAUAUAUUUUGUGCUUUUGAUGAACUUAAUUACGAAAAGGGGAUUAGCUGAAGCAUGUUAGGAAUUUACCCUAAUUGACAUCUGGCCGACAGCGGGAUGACAGUGGAAGAAUAUAUGGGUAAACAGGUUAUUAUGUGUGCAGCUUGAGGGUUUGUAAAUAUCUAUCUUUAAGGCCUUGAUGUGGAAAGGGCGAUUCUCAUACUGUCUGCCCUGUGUUCUACCUUAUUUGUCUUCUUUAUCAUGUGUUCUAUAAUAGGAUUGUUUUAACUUUUGGCUGUUCUACUAGAAUUUUCUAGCCUUGUUUCUACAUAUAUGCCCAAGAUGUUGAUGUGAAAUUUCUUUUUGAGAGGAUGAUCCUUUUUGUUUUCCCUUUGAAGUACUGGUUAAAGGCGUUAUUUCAUUGUGUUGUUACAUGACAAUAAUACAAGCAGUAGUCAUGGAUGAAAAGUUUUGGCCGACAAUUCUGUAUUACCAAAAAUGGAUGUAUGAUGUUUUAAAUAUUUUUUUAUUGAUGCUAUAAAAUCCGACUCAGUCCUGCUCCAGUAACAUUUUAGAUGCUGAAAAUCUAAUUAUCUUCUACUCUUUUUGUUGAAUAACUCUGCUAUUUUUUGUUGCAGGGAAAUCUAAUCAUGCAAGUUCUGCCAAGAGAUCUGGGCAUCUUAUCAGACCCACUUCUCCCAAGUCUCCUGUUGCUAGUGUCAGUGCUUUUGAAAGUGUGGAAGGAUCAGAUGAUGAAGAUAAUAUGACUGACAGUGCUGGACUAAACGAUGCAUAUCUACAUGCCAAUGGGAAUGCGGUAAUACUUAAUGAUAGAUUUGGGCGUGCACAAUUCCAUUUGGUUUUUUUUAUUCCUUGUAUUUUCUUGAUUCAAUCAAUGUCCUUGUGCUGUCAAGGAUUUACUUUCUCGAGUCUUGCCAAUGUUGUAUAAUUUCUUUUCAUUUAUGAUGCUACAUAAAGUCCCCAGGAAUUCACUAAAUUGACCCUAUAACGAGCUGGGUCCUGAAUGUUAAAGUAUGUUUCAGGAUUUACCGGAUCACAGGAAUGCCAAUAAUGGAGAGCAAAUGGCUAUGUCUGCAUCAAGUAUGAUUCGAUCCCAUAGCGUAUCUGGUGAUCUGCACAGUGUGCAACCAGACCCUGUGGCUGCGGACAUUCUCAGAAAAGAACCAGAACAGGAAACCUUUGUGAAGCUGAAAAUUGCCCCAAGGGGUAUUACAUCCUCUUCUUUCCUUUUUAUGUUAUAGGGUAUAGCUUUUGUCAGCCCAUUGGUUGUUUCUGUCCUGCAGCAUACUUGCUAAUGAUUAGGCUAAUAAUUUAUGCUUUGAUGAAAACUUAAGUGUCAUGUUACAGUUAAACUACCUUAUUUUUCCUUCAGGUGUUAUUGAUUGACUAAUAUCACGGCUGAAACCAAGGGAUUUGUGGAAAUUUGUUUAAUUUAACAUUUAAUGUACCCAUCCAUACUUUUUUCAUUCUUCUUGGUCAAAUGGAAAAGAAGAACAAACAGUCGGGUAGCAGCAUUUCAUUUCCAACAGCUGAGCUUUAAUCUUCAGCCUUGGUUUUCAUAGAAGUUAAGAAGCAAUAAUCAUAAUACCGAUGCUUGUGAAUAAACUAUAUCACCAUAUUAGUACAAAAUUGACUGUUCUGUUCAUUUUUGUAUGUGUGAAAGCAUCAUGACGAUAAUUCUGUUCUAUUUUUGGUCGUCCAUGUAUCUAUUCUCCCCCUCACUGUUAGUGUGCACUUUAUGUACUUUUCAGACUAUUGGAAUUAACAUUGGAAUCUAUCCUUGCUUGUAAUAAAUGUACAUGGAUGCCAAAGCCUAUAUUUUAUUUCUUUGUAAUGAUUUUCAGAGACACCAUCUCCUGAUGAAGUGGACGUCUAUCGGAAUCUGCAAGUGUGCCUAGAAAUGAGAAAGACAUAUGUAUUUAGGGAAGCUGUUGCGCCAUGGGAAAAGGAAAUCAUAACUGAUCCAAGCACACCAAAGCCCAUUCCAAAUCCAUUUGAUUAUAUGCCAGAACGAAAAUCUGAUGUAAGAUAAAAUGCGUUAGAAUUUUUUCUUUUUUUGGUUGAUUUUUCUUAUGUGUGAGUAGUUUGAGGAUUUUAUUUUCUGUUCCUGUUGUUUUACUUUGUUGUGUUGGCACAUUGUUAUUAAGUACAGGGUUUCGAGUCACUAAUAUGUUGAGUGUUCCUACAGCAUUCUUUUCAGAUGGAAGAUGGAGUUGUGCAAGUUUAUGCUAAUAAGGAGGGUAAGAUGCUUGGUACCUUUGUCAUUUUUUUGGUAUAAUAGUGUAUCAUCUUUGCCCUUUUUCCCCUCUGAUUUUUAUUAUUUUCCUUCAUCUAGCAACGGAGAAACUUUUCCCAGUAGCUGAUGCAACCACCUUUUUCACUGACCUGCACCACAUCCUUAAAGUUAUUGCUGCGGGGAAUAUUCGGACACUAUGUCACCAUCGCCUAGUACUUUUAGAACAAGUAGAUACUAUGACUUUGAUAGUUGUUUGUAGGAAGUGUGUUGAGUUUUGUUAGUGACCUAAAAUUGUUUGCUUUUCAAAAUACUGACUUAUAUGUUGUCCAGAAAUUCAACCUCCAUUUGAUGCUUAAUGCUGAUCGGGAAUUCCUUGCUCAAAAAAGUGCCCCACACCGUGACUUCUAUAAUGUCAGGAAAGUCGACACCCACGUUCACCACUCAGCCUGCAUGAACCAGAAGCAUCUUUUGAGGUUUAUAAAGUCAAAGCUGAGGAAAGAGCCUGACGAGGUGUUGGGUCAUUCUACUUGAGCUGUCUGCCAUUUUCAAAGCAUCAUAUAUACUUCUCUUCUUCUGGAUUAAAAGUGUCACUAACAAAAGUUUUUAUGGAAUAAAAUCUGUAGAACUUUUCACAAAUCCAUCAAGAUAGUGCCAUUUUUCUGAGUAUCUUACAUAGGUAUACCUUUUCUUCAGGUUGUCAUAUUUCGUGAUGGUACCUAUUUGACAUUGAAAGAAGUUUUUGAGAGCUUGGAUUUAUCUGGGUAUGAGAGGCUCCUAAAUUCUGUGCUUUGAAGAAUUGCUCGCCUCUCAGUUCAACUCUUUUGACUUGACUCAUUGCUUUUUGACAUCUGCUUUUCGCUUUUUUGUUUCACUGAUAAUUUUUUUUCCCAAACAGGUAUGAUCUGAAUGUUGACCUACUGGAUGUUCAUGCUGACAAGAGCACCUUUCAUCGAUUUGACAAGUUUAAUCUUAAGUACAACCCUUGUGGUCAAAGUAGGCUAAGGGAGAUUUUUCUGAAGCAGGAAAACCUUAUACAGGGUAUUGCCAUAUUUUCUCUUCAGACCUGAAAAACUAGAUCUUCAUUUUAGUGAAAAAGAAGUUUCCACAUUCUAGGUCAUACCACUUGCUUUCGAUCACCAUGCAUUUCCUUUGCAAUAUGAAUUAAGAUAAGCCAUCCAAUUCUUCUGUUUCUUCUUCGUCAUUUUCUUUCUUGUUACUCAAGUUCCACUUCGCGCCAGAUUGUCCCCUUGAUUCUGUUUUCAAUUUUUGUUUACUUGGAAGCUUUAUAUUUGUUUAUCAGAUGUAUUGAGUUUAAGAUUUAUUAUAUCUGCAAAUUUGCAGGUCGUUUCCUUGGUGAGCUGACUAAGCAAGUUUUUUCUGAUCUUGAAGCAAGCAAAUAUCAAGUGCGUCCUUUGUGUGUAAUGAAAUUUAUCAUCUGCUUUUUCAUUUUUAUUUUUCACCGUGCAGAAGAUCAGCAAUGCCUUAAUAGUUCUUCCUUUUGCUUUGUGACACACUGAGCAACCCUGACUUACAACGAAACUUCUUGGCGGCCAUUUUUGUUCUCUUCUGUCCAUUUUGUGAAAGCUUUUCCAUUUGUUUAUCUUGUAUCCUUUCCUUUUCUUUUUCUUUGGGAGAGUGGGCCUUUACUUAUGUCAUUUUUUCUUCUUAAAUUAAGUAUUCUUCCCAGUACUUAUGUCAUCUUUUGUAUUUUUGUUAAGCAAGAACUUUAAGGUUAAGAUGCUUGUACCGCUUGAAAAAUAUGUGAAGAUUGUUGCUUGAAGUCUGCAUUGUCUUCACUUUCUGGCUGAGAUGACAAGACUUCUGCACAACAAUUUUAGCUUUGAUGAGGGAAGGUGUCUGGUCUCCUUGUUUUCUUCAAGCACGUUUUAUAUACUUUUCAAAUGAUAUUUAGAUUCUAGGGUAAAGUUUCUGCAGGUUGGAAUAUCUUGGUAAUUUUGUGUCAAAACUUGGAAGAUUUUUUAAAGUACAUCACUUGCAAAAUGAAUCUGGUGGUGUUGUUUUUGUUGUAGUCUUCUUUUCCUUUUAAAAUUAUAUGAGCAUUUUGAUGUUAUGAUUUGGGUUUCUGUCCAGUACAACGCUCCAUGAUUAUGCCAGUUAAAGUCCAAACUUCUUCACUCCUUAUUCUUGUUUGGAUUAAGUAUUGGUGGUUCUCCUUUGGUUCUGAUGCAGAUGGCUGAAUACAGGGUAUCCAUAUAUGGCAGAAAGCAGAGUGAGUGGGACCAGCUGGCUAGUUGGAUAGUAAACAAUGACUUGUAUAGCGAGAAUGUUGUCUGGUUGAUUCAGGUAUCCAACAGAACCAACUGUAUUUGUGUUGAUGUCCUUGGCAAGAACUUUGUGGAAAGAACCUUAGUUCUUCUCUAGAAGGUCGAUACUAUUAAAUGUCGAUUAAAACAACCUUCUUCUCCUUUCUGCUCAACUUGUUCUCUCUAACAAUUGGACAGCAAUAAUGUCCUUAAGGAAAGCUUUUACGUACCCCUGGGUUCUCAGAAAUGCUCUAUACCAUGUUAUGUUUAUGCAAAUCGUUGUAUAUUGCCCAAAUAGUUCUGAUUACUUUUCCUAUGUUAAUUGGAAAACACUGUUCUCAUCUUAUAAUUAGUCGUGUGCUUUAAUAAGAAAAUUAUUUAUUAUUUGUCAAAAUUGGUUCUGUUUGCAGGAACAAAACCCUGGAAUUUCAAGAUUUUGUCUUGCAUGUCAUUCGCCCAUCUAUGGCCACUUACUAUUGUUCUUUUUCUCUGUUUUGCCUUUUCUUCUUGAAUUCUUCCACUGUCUUGAUUGAAGGGCUUAUGACUAUAAUUCAAAUACUUGUUACUUAACUUUUCAUGUUUAAUUUUGAUGUUUAACUUUUCUGUAAUUGGUUCUAAGAACAAUCAUAAUGAGGGGGAAAGAAGAAUCAAUACCAAUAGGCGCCUUAUACUACAAUUUUAUAAUAGGGGCCUGCUUUAUGCUUAUGGUUUAAAGUUUGAAGUUGUGUAUAGUCUUGCAAUGCAUCUGAUGCUGUCAAAAUGGAUAAUGCUGUUGACUGUCAGACAUAAAUGGCUAACUUUUGGGGAGCAUUAUGAAUGCUGUCAGACUUGGAAAUUCUAGGAGAUUGGUUUCGUGUUGUAUAACUAGGUUCAGAGUCUCUGAGUGCUGUCCAAUGGACACAAUGUCAGGUCUGAAGCCUAUUAUGAUUAGGGAGAAAAGCAUCUAAGUUUGAGGCGGUAUAAAAUCUCUUGUUUCAGCCCCUUUUUUUCCCUAAGCAUCUUGUUUAAUCAGAAUAUUAAAUGCUAUCUGAAUAGUGAUUUUCGUAUUGAAUUUCAAUUCUUUUCAGCUUCCAAGACUCUACAAUGUCUACAAGGAAAUGGGAAUUGUGACAUCUUUUCAGAACAUUCUUGAUAAUGUUUUCCUUCCUUUGUUUGAGGUUACUGUGGAUCCAGAUUCACAUCCUCAGUUGCAUGUUUUCUUGAAGCAGGUAUGCAUACUACCACUACAUCAACUUUAUUCUGCUUUAUUGGGUAAUAAACCAUGUUCAUUGAAUACUGAUAAUUCUCCGGGUUAAUCUCCCUGAAAGCUGGGUUCCUUUUCAUGUUCCCUCAAUAUUCCUUUUUCUGUUCCAUAUGACAAUGUUUGAAGGCAGACAAGAGGUGGCUUUUGGUAGCAUGUAAAAAGAUGAUAGGGUUAAAACCCUGUAGUAGUGUCUAGGAGAUAGUUAUAAGUGAAUAAAUGAUGAGCUAUUCACCAUUGCCAGAUGUGGGUGUUAUAAAUUCAUGUUUUUUAGUUAACAAUAGUCUUUGUAUAAUGUCUAAGAUGGUUUAACUAAAUCCUGUUCCUGGAUAUUCAGGUGGUUGGAUUUGAUUUGGUGGACGAUGAAAGUAAGCCAGAAAGACGUCCUACAAAACACAUGCCGACACCUGCUCAGUGGACCAACAUAUUCAAUCCUGCAUACUCAUACUACAUUUACUAUUGUUAUGCUAACUUAUACACCUUAAAUAAGGUAAAGAAGUUGUUUCUGUUUAUGCACUCUCCAGAAAUUGAGAAAAAUGAAGUAAUUUACCAAUUGUGUGAUUUGCUUCUCCUUUGUUUUUUUCCUUUUUUUUUUUGGGAAAGGGGGGGGGGGUUGUGGUGUUAGGCAGUGCACCGUGGGGUUGAUGGAUGGUAUAAAGGUUGGGGUUGGGGAUAAUGGGCUUACCACAUUUCAAUAUUAUCAUUACAGCACUACUUUACAUCUCUAUCAACUGUAAGAGGCCUUUAAGAUUUGGGCAAUAGCUUUUUGGUCUUUGUCCUGAUUUUUUCCUAGACUUUUUUUUUUGCCUUACAAUACAGGCAAUAGCUUUUUGGUGUUUUUGCUAAUUUUUUUUUUCUGUUAGACUAUUGUUUUUCACUUCUGUCAUGACUCAUGGGGCUAAUACCAGGAAUGGAAACUUGAGAUAGGAUUACUGUAAUAUAAAUAGUAUUUUCUUAAAUUGUUACUAUGAUUGAGUUGUUGCUUGUAAGAUGCAAUAGCAAAAAUCCUCCUAACAUUAUUUUCCAGGGCCUUUUCUGCUUUCCACUGUUUUUCUGUAACAGUUUUGCAUUUUUUCCCUUUUUUUUGUGGCCCGGGGGGAGGGGGGGAGGUGUUUUGGCAUUGCAGAAGAGGAAGGUUUAAGGAUUCCUUCACCUAAAGAUGGUGGUGUUUUCACCGGUGUAUAUGAUUAUAUGGUUAAUCUGUUUGCUGGCAUUGUUUUGUGAGAAUUAAUUGCAUAACAUUUCAGCUUCGCGAGUCAAAAGGAAUGACCACUAUCAAACUCCGUCCACAUUCUGGAGAGGUACAUAAAUGUUCAUUCUGUGUGAUCUGAAGUUAGAUUGAUUGUGUUAUUGAUGGUUUCAGUUUGUUAGGCUGGUGAUGUUGACCACCUUGCAGCGACAUUUCUUACUGCUCAUAAUAUUGCGCAUGGAAUCAACUUGAGAAAAUCUCCUGUACUUCAGUAUUUGUACUACCUGGCCCAGGUAAAACAACACACGUCAAAUUGAUUAGCUUCCAAAGUGUGCACAUUGUAAUGCAUUGGGAUGGUUUCUUUGAUUUCAGAUUGGUCUUGCCAUGUCUCCACUGAGCAACAACUCAUUGUUUUUGGACUACCAUCGGAAUCCAUUUCCCAUGUUUUUCCUGCGUGGCCUCAAUGUGUCGCUUUCAACUGAUGAUCCUUUGCAGAUUCACCUAACAAAAGAGCCCCUCGUGGAAGAAUACAGCAUUGCAGCUUCUGUGAGUUCUUCAAGUCUUUUGUCAGAAAAUAUUUGAGUUGUGAACUGUUAUGGUUGUCCAAUAAGUUUGCUAUCUGGUGCAGGUUUGGAAGUUAAGUUCAUGUGAUAUAUGUGAGAUUGCACGGAAUUCAGUUUAUCAAUCUGGUUUCUCUCAUGUACUGAAGGUAAGUUAGUCCUGUUGAAGUUGUACAAUUUGUGUUUGCAAUAAUAUAAAUUCUCCACCAAAUUUAUUUUCUAUUUUAUUUCUUUUGAGUAACGCUUAACACAGUGCUUCAUAGUUUGCAUUAUUGUUAUUUUUGGGUGGACAUGCCAGAUGGAAUAUGCUGCAGCAAACGCCUUUUUGGCCAAGUUGUUUAGUCCUUUUGCCUUAUCUACGUAUACCCUAAAUCUUGAUGCCAUUCAAUUGCUGCUUUGUUAUCACUAAUUUACUGGGAAAGCAUGUUCUCAUUUGGCAAGUCUAAUUCCUACUAUUUUGGAUGGGGGCCAAUUGCAGGCCCUUUUAUGGUACUUUGUAGAGUACAAUAAAUAUUUUAAUCUGCCUGUGUUUGCUUUUUUGAAGCCUAUCCUUUAUAACAAUUGUAAAUAUAUGUUUCCUGUUGUAAUGUCUGAACUAUGAACAUCUGUUCUUAGUCUCACUGGGUCGGGAAGGAAUACUACAAGAGAGGACCAGACGGGAAUGAUAUUCACAAGACAAACGUACCUCAUAUCCGCCUUGAAUUUCGUGAUAUGGUAUGGAAGUUGUUUUGAAUUAUGUUUUAAUGUCUUCACAUUAUGAGAGAAUCAAUAUCUUUGCUAUAUAAUAUAUAUAUAUAUAUAUAUAUGUCUAUACCAAAUUCAUUGUUGUACAGGCAGUCUGAAAUGUCAUAAACAAGCAGUUUUGAAAAGCUUUGGUAAAGAGGAAGUACUAGGAAAUAUGGUUUUCUUUUCCUUCUAAUCAGUGGAUUUGAAGGAAGGAAACUGAUUCAAAUUCUAAUCGUUCUCUCCUUAUCGCGUUAUCCUAAUGCAUUUUUCAGAAGUUUUACCUUUUGGAAUGGUCUUUGGUUGAUGAUGGAGGCCUCUGUUUGAAGAUUAGCUUCCAAAAUCCAAGUUGGAUCAGAUGAAGCAAAUCUUAUCGUGAAGUUACAUAUUGUCAUUUGAAUAAAUUUUGGCUUCUCCUAGCGACGCCUUUUUUUUUUUUUUUUUAAAGCAGAUCAGGUGUUAGAAUAUAAAGGUGACAAAUUACGUGUUCAAUAUUGCAGAUUUGGAGAGAGGAGAUGCAACAGGUUUAUUUGGGAAAUUCUAUAUUUGCUGAACAUAUUGACCCAUAAUAAGCUUGGCUGGCUUUCUUUUGCGAGCUGGAACUUUUACAUUCUAUGUGGAGGUAUCCCUAAAAUUUAUCCAUUAGAACUGAGGAAAUUUUCCAUUCUCUGUUUAUUUUUGUUAUUUCUGUAGAAGUUCUUUUUUCCUUUUUAUUCCAUAUCAGAUAAGGGCUGCAACGGUACUACAAAUUAAUGAUGGUGUUGCCUGCACGUCUGCUCCUCUUUUUCUUUUUCUCAGGAAAAGUGCAAAAAAGCCAAGGACCUGCGGAAUAGAACUUUAGAACAGAGUAGUAUAUGCAUCUCAAGAAAAAUUAAAGAAAAGAAAUAAAGCAAAAGCCAAACAGGACAUAUCCAUGUAAUAGAGAAUAGUACAAGGUAACUUUGUAUUUUACUUUGUAUAAACAUGUAUAAUGUGAUCCGUCACCCACGGCAACUGAAUGUUGAAGCUUAUUUGAAAACACAAUAAUGAGUUCUUGAGUUGCGACUCAGUUGUUGCCAAGGUUAUGAACGGGAAGAUUUAAGUCCCCUUUUGUAACAGUGGGCUGCCUCUUAGUCUUAGGGGUACCUCCUAACAAACCCCGGUUGGACGCUAUUAUUAUAUAAAAGGCAGUCUCAAAGGCGUGACAUAAACUCGGGCAAGAGAGCAAAAUAUCACCCUCCUCACAAAGGCUAAGGCCGUGAUAUGUCAAGGCGUGUAGGACCAUGCAACUUCAGAUAUUUAGAUUACACUUCUUUUGCAGGGGCAGGGUCGGACUUGGCCGAAGGAUGUCACCUCCCGAUUAGGAGUAACUAUGUGCAAAUAAAUAUAAUAAAGGAGAUUCACGGCCAGUACCGUCGCGCUUGGAACAUACAACAAAUACUAGCAGAACAUCAAUGAAUAGAGAGAGACUAAAGUAAUCAAUCAUCAUCAUGUACAUCAGCAAAUGGCUCAUUCAUCCAACAAAGUAGGGAAUGCUCGGCUGGACAGAAGUACCAUUAACCAGCUGCAUACAAAUCAACCAACAAGCUGGAAGAAAUCCGUAAUAUUAUUUAAAAUGUGAAGUUUAAUACAUCAUCAUCGUCAAACAUCUUUCUUUCUUAGUUUAGCCUUCCUCUUCGCCGUUAGAAGGAAAUCCAAGCACUGAACACUACCAUGUACACCGGCUGUUUGCAUCUGAUACUUAACUCCACCAUCUCACUCAUUCUUGAAGGACUGCAAAAAGAUACGAACGAAAUCAACAAAUCGUACAUCUACUUAUCCAAGCAUACAAAACUCAGCAUUGAUCUGAGCAUCCAACCUCGAAAUUUUUGGCCACCUGCUCCGAAACUUUUUUCUUCACCUCUGCGGCUGCAUCCAACAUUAUUUCGUCAAGAAGAAAACGUUAGCCCAAUUUAAUAAAAGAAGAAGAAGAAGAAGAAGAGUGCUGCACUCAAAGAACCAAAAACCAAAAGAAUUGAUGAGCAGCAUGGGAUACGAGCGCAUGCCUUUGACAGAAACGUUCUCUAUCCUCUUCGAUGUCCUAACUGCAAAUCUUUGGAAAGCAGGACUGAAACAGAUUAUAAGAAUUAGUAGGAAACAUCAGAACAGAUCAGGAUAGUACUUCACACCGUCCAAGCAAAAACAGUCCACAAGGAUAUAGAAAUUUAAUGUACACGAGCAACUAGAGUCCAAAUCUCACAACAAAAGAAAGUACCCAUAAGUUCAGUACUAAUCCCUGAAUGUAUUUAACCAAAAAUAUGACCAACGACUAUAGUUAUCCCUACCAAAAAACAAUAAGUUGUUGACAGCAACAUACCAUCAAGCUAAUAAUUUGCGUAUGCUUCAAGUUUCAAAGCAACCAAAAAAUCAUACUUGAUAGCAAAAUAAGAUAUCUUUAACCAAAAAAUAUGAAUCCCUGCCCCCAACACCAAAGAACCCCCAACCCCCCCCCCCCCCCCCGCGGCCGCGGGGCCCAAAAAAAAUAGAAGAAGAAGAAGAAGACACCAAACUCCUAGGCAAUUAAAGCCACCAAAAGUAUAGUCAAUACAAAUGCCAAUUUACAACAAGCUCGAAAAAACAAGUCCAAUUAAAAUAUAAAAGAACAAGUACAUGAACCAGAUUCAUUAAAAUCUUGUAAAACAUAAAUGCUUCAGAUUGUAUGACCGUAUAACAAGUUCAAAAAAAACUAGGCAGCCUCAGAGCACUAAAGUUUGAAAAGAACAAUUGCGAUCAUUUCCGCAAAUCAUUACAAGCCUACGAAAGUCAUCAUCGGCAUGCGAGCAUUAAAGGAAAAGGAUUAUCAUUUUCACUAAAAUAAAAUUCAGACCAAAUAGCUCAAAACGGAAGCCGCAUCAAUUUAGUAGAAACUACUAAUGAGAUACGUGGAUAAGAGUAGAAAAAUGCUUCCAGAGACGCCAAAAUAUUCAGGAAAAUAGAGUCUGUAAAUAAUGAUAACCUGUUCGCGAGGCCAUUCACGAUGAGCUCGUUGGCGACGUAAGACAUGACCCGAUGGAUGAAAUUUCCUCCUCCAGCCAUUAUCGAUUCCUCUCGGAGACUGAUCAAGUCAAAAACAUGUUAAUUAUUGGACAAUUAGAUAAUAUAUUCGAGAAAGCUAAGAGUUUAAGGGUCAUAGAAAUAGCAAAACGACAAUGAAGAGAGAGGGCUUCAACCUGAGAUGCGAUGGCCGAAAUCGGAAACUAGGGUUUUUAGAGUCAGAAAUCGCGAUAACCUCCUGUAUUUGGAGGCUGGAGGCUGGAGCUGGAUUGACGCCAACAAGAGGCGGGUUUCCUAAAACUCUAAGUUGGGUGGGUCCCCGGGAAAUUCGGGUCUCUGGGCAUAUAAACUAUAAUGGGCUUCUACCAGUAAUGGGCGCAAUUUGGAGUUUUGGGUUGGGAUUCCCAACGGAGCCCAGAGAGCCCAUCCGUGAUAGCAGGUCUAAUAUGCUUACUGUACGGAUCUUCUUGUUGAUUAGAGCACGAAAUAAGAGGCCAGCACCCAUUAACUUUGAAUGUAAAAUUCAGAUUCAGAAACGUAAAGUUAUCAGGAAUGGCAAAUACUUGGAUAAACCCUCGGUUUAUAUAGAUUUUGCGAUUCAAAUUUUGUCAUAUGUCAUAUCAUCACGCGGACUCAAAAAUUAAUGGUGUGACAAAAUUUGAAUCACAUGAUUUACAAGACUACAUCUACCCAAGUUUUUUGCCACCGUUAAAUUUGUCAUAAAGACUCAAAUAGGGAUGCAUUCCCUCCUCGAGCUCUUCUCUUUCUACUUGCAAAGGCUUGAAAAGAAAAAAAAAAAUGAAUGGAUGCUUGUCUAGGCGGGCAAUAGAAUAGAGAAAGCUCUAGCAUGUUAUGGUAUAGCGUACGAGGCUUUUUGGCCUCAUUUUGACCAAGAAAAAAUAAUUUUAGCAAAAGAUAAGCUUUCCAAAGAUAAAAUAAACGAUAAGCCUAUACAAAGAGCAAGAUUGCCCAGUCGCAUCAUGGUAUCUAGACUAUCUACCAAAGGCAUUCAUCUACAGUCAAAACAUCCCAGUGCUAUACCUCACUCUACAACGGAAUCUCAAAUCGCUUUUACAAGUGGAACUUUCCUCCAUCAGGCUCCAACAAGCCUAACAGUAGUGUCAACAAUGGUUGCAAGGAUUCUAUCAGCAGCAGCAGGAGCAGGAACAUUCUUGAAAAUAGCCUUAUUUCUGGCUUUCCAAACCUGAUAGAUUGUACUAAUAGCCAACAAACGGCUUGAAAUUCCAGUGCAGGUGGACUCAAUAGAUCAUGGUUUAGCGCCCCUGCACUCUUCACGUAAUGCUUGAAACUUUUGCCAUACGAUUGCAGUCACCGGACAUUCAAAAAAUAAAUGAUCUAUAAUUUCCUCAGUAGCAUUGCGCAGAAUACAACAGAAUGUUGAACCAAAAGGUUGUGCCAAUCCUCUAAGCUUCAAGACCUUCCUCCACACUUAAAGAGCAAUCAGAAGGAAUAUUAACCCUCAAAAGUGUUAGUGAUAAAUUAUUCCCUUUAAAGUGCAUUUUCUCUGCAAAUUCACUAAGGGCCUCUGUUUGGAGUUAAAGUGGCUUAUCAAAACGCACUUAAAUUAGUAGAGAUUUUAGUCAGAGUAGUUAUGAAAUGCUUGCUCACAUUAUUAUUUGGAUGCAUAUAUUAUUGGGGUGCAUACUUACAUAAGUGAUUUUUUAUUUGAUAAUGGGUAACUUUGAAUUUUUAAAAUAUUUUUAUCUCUUCAUUUAGUUUCCAAAUUUAUAAUAAAAUUAUUAAAGGAUUUUUUAAAUAAAAUAAAAAAUGUUCAAUUUAAUAAAAAUUUGAAAAUUUUUAUUUUUUUUUAAAACACAAAAGUUCCUCUAAAACACUAAUUUUAACUUGUGUUGACAGUGCUUUAAUGUUCAAAAUUUUCAUUCCUAAAUUCGAGGAAUUACGCUUACCACACACAUUAACUUUUAUCCUCCAAAAGCACUUUUCUAGCAAAAACACCAUAACCCUUUAUGGUGCUUCUCAUGGAAAAACAUUUUUAAUGUAUUUGGUUAACAUCAUUCCUUGCAUUUAGGCGAACAGCAUUUGAAUAUUAAUGGCCAUUUUGGGUUUUGAUGGUUUACGAAAAAGUACUUCAAUUAGUAGACCUUUCGGUCAAAAGUACUUAUUAAGUUCUUAAUUAUAUUGUUUACGUGCAUAGUUGCAUAAGUAUUUUUCUAUUUGAUAUAUGCAAUUUUGAAUUCUAAAACAAAUUUAUGUCUUUAUUUAGUUUAAAAUAUUUAACAAAAUUAUGAAAGCUAAUUUUGUAUUUUUGAAACAUAAAAGUUGCUCUAAAAGCAUCAUUUUAGUUUAUGCCAAAAGCCAGUUGAUAUUGGCACUUGCAAAAAAGAUCAGAGCACUCCAUCCUCCCAUCUAAAGCAAAAGAAGGGAUAAAGUUCUUGAAAUUUUUUUAGGGAUGCUAAUAUCACUUUCCAAAAAACACGUGUAAAGGGUUCAAUUGAGAUUGUUUUCCAUUUGUAGUUGUUCUACUUAUUUACUUCUAUAUUUUUUUUUUUCAAAAAAGGAUAUUGUAGUGAUGGAAUUAGUGAAAGUUUCUCAAGUUUACCGUCAGUUUCAUUACUUUGGCCACUAUAAAUAGUUAUUUGUUUGUAGGGCUGUAAAUUGAACCAAGUAGUUUGAUACUCGACUUGAACUCAUCUCGAAUCAAGCUCAUUCAAGUUUGUUUGUUUAGGUAUUCAUCCAAACCCGAGCAUAAUUUCAAACUCAAAAAUAUUAACAAAUCUAUCACGAUUUUCACGUUGUUCGACUCGAUGUAUUCAGGAACAUAUAAAACAAGUAAAUUUCAUAAAAAUAUUCUUAAAGUUUCCUUCCUUAACUCUAGUUGUUUCCUUCACGCAUAUUGCCUAUCUUAUAAAAUAGCAAGCAUAUAAUAAUAUUCUUAUCUCUUGAAUAGAAAUAAUUGAUUUUAAUUACAUCUAUAAUUCAUAGUCAUAAAUUUUUUGAAUAGGCAUAAUUGACAAUGACAUCCCUAAUUCAUCGUAAUAGAUUUCUUGAAUAUUAGAGAGCAAAAAUUAAGGGAAAAAAAAAGUAAGAAACUAGAGUGAAAAUUUCUAUAUAAUACAACAUGAAAUUUCAAGCCAAACUUUGAUUGUAUGCCAUUGAGCUCAAUACUAAGACAUGCUAAGCCAAACUUUUCAUAAACAUACAUUAGAAAUUUAAGCUAAAUUCAAUCAAUUUUUUUCAAAAAAUUAUCAAACACAAGCCAAGUUCAAACAUUCUUUUUAAUCUUCAAACCAAUUCUAAACAUACCUCUGUCUGCGUUGUGUCGUUGAGGUUCGUUUUCAACCUAUAUUGUUUGUACGAAGAGAUGUUAGCGAACGCGGUAAAGAUACAAACAACACAGAAUCGCAGGUGUCCUGGUUUGAGCAAGAGAUUUUAUACACCCCAUCCAUACAAAGUACAAACAACACUGAAUCUUAUGCUGCAUUUACAGCAUAAGAAAUUUCCUUGGGGAAGUUUACAACCACCUAGACUGUACUGCCAAUUUAAAUUGGUAUCCAUUUUUGUUUGCUACAGAUGUGCAAAAAGUAUUUGAUUCCAAGUAUCAGGGACUCCCGGCAAACACCAGUGUAUGCAAUCCGCAUUGUGUAACGGGUCAGCCUUUUGCUCGUCCGUCAACAAUUGUCCUUGUAACUCUGUGUAAAUUGAUGAGUGAGCGUCAAUCCUGUACUCGGAUAGUUGUGUUAUGUUAAUGAAUGUGACAGGCACUUUCAUCUUUUCAACUACACUGGCCACCACAUUCAUCAUCCUUCUAUCUGAACCACUUCCCCAGUGCCAUUUGUUCAAGAUGGGUUUUGUCUCGUUGAAGCACUUGAUCCCAUUCUUGUUGCCCCAGUCUUCACUCCUGAUAAUAUUUAUUGAACACAAACUCGCAUCAGUAUUUAUAUUUCAAUUCAAACAUGGGUUUGAUGAAAAAAACUAUUGGCCAUCAUGAAGAAAAGGAAAACAGAGUCUCCAUCCAGCUAAAGAAAUUUUUAAUAAGAAAUGUUUACAAACCUCUGAUGCGUGGGAGACAUUGUAGUAAAGAACACUCGAGUUGUAUUAGGAUCGAUUGUGGAAUCAACCCAGUUCGCCCAUGUCUUCAAUCCUAUUCUGUACGAAACAGGUGCGUCCAGCUCUUCAGAACCUUCCUCCCCAUUGGCAAAUGAACCCCAUCUGUGCUUCACCAGACGUUGAUAC